RNAcentral lists this long non-coding RNA (318 nucleotides) under Triticum aestivum (bread wheat). Its description in RNAcentral is "long non-coding RNA (TAES_LNC004771)". Lineage: Eukaryota; Viridiplantae; Streptophyta; Magnoliopsida; Poales; Poaceae. The record is from RNAcentral.
GCGGACUUCCUGGCCACCGCCGCCACCUUCUAGUCCAUCUCCGUACGUGCGCGUCUGUCUCCUCCCCCCUAUGGCGCCACCGAAGAUCGAUCAGGAGCAGGGGAGCCAGGAACCAGUGACUGUGUUUGGGAGAAUGAAAUGCCUCGAGUACGAUCGAUCAUGCAUGUUAUAGUAUGUGAUAGAGAUGGUAGUGGACUAGUGGUGGUAGUGGUUGGUUUGUUGGUGUUGUAUUGAACCUAUGUUUUUCGCUGUAUGGAUAUGACGCAAUAAUUCCACACUUACGGAUGCAGCUAUGGAUGACGUAUCGACCUGACCUUU